Molecule: ribosomal RNA, 484 nt
Filed under: uncultured bacterium
Lineage: Bacteria
Description: partial 16S ribosomal RNA
Rfam family: Bacterial small subunit ribosomal RNA
Source: RNAcentral
AUUGAACGCUGGCGGCAGGCCUAACACAUGCAAGUCGAGCGGAUGAAGGGAGCUUGCUCCUGGAUUCAGCGGCGGACGGGUGAGUAAUGCCUAGGAAUCUGCCUGGUAGUGGGGGAUAACGUCCGGAAACGGGCGCUAAUACCGCAUACGUCCUGAGGGAGAAAGUGGGGGAUCUUCGGACCUCACGCUAUCAGAUGAGCCUAGGUCGGAUUAGCUAGUUGGUGGGGUAAAGGCCUACCAAGGCGACGAUCCGUAACUGGUCUGAGAGGAUGAUCAGUCACACUUGAACUGAGACACGGUCCCGACUCCUACGGGAAGCAGGCGUUGGGAAUUUUGGACCAUGGGCGAAAGCCUGAUCCCGCCCUGCCGCGUGUGUGAAGAAGGUCUUCGGAUUUUUAAACACUUUAAGUUGGGAGGAAGGGCAGUAAGUUAAUACCUUGCUGUUUUGACCUUUCCAACCGAAUUAAGCCCCGCCAAACUCGUU